UACGUAGGGGGCUAGCGUUGUCCGGAAUCAUUGGGCGUAAAGAGCGUGUAGGCGGUCCGGUAAGUCCGCUGUGAAAGUCGGGGGCUCAACCCUCGAAUGCCGGUGGAUACUGUCGGACUAGAGUACGGAAGAGGCGAGUGGAAUUCCCGGUGUAGCGGUGAAAUGCGCAGAUAUCGGGAGGAACACCAAUUGCGAAGGCAGCUCGCUGGGACGUCACUGACGCUGAGACGCGAAAGCGUGGGGAGCAAACAGG
This 253-nucleotide ribosomal RNA is filed under the name uncultured bacterium. Its description in RNAcentral is "partial 16S ribosomal RNA". It matches the Rfam family "Bacterial small subunit ribosomal RNA", at positions 524 to 776 of the family's 1533-position model. The record is from RNAcentral.